GAUCAUGGCUCAGAGCGAACGCUGGCGGCAGGCUUAACACAUGCAAGUCGAGCGGGCGUAGCAAUACGUCAGCGGCAGACGGGUGAGUAACGCGUGGGAACGUACCUUUUGGUUCGGAACAACACAGGGAAACUUGUGCUAAUACCGGAUAAGCCCUUACGGGGAAAGAUUUAUCGCCGAAAGAUCGGCCCGCGUCUGAUUAGCUAGUUGGUAGGGUAAUGGCCUACCAAGGCGACGAUCAGUAGCUGGUCUGAGAGGAUGAUCAGCCACAUUGGGACUGAGACACGGCCCAAACUCCUACGGGAGGCAGCAGUGGGGAAUAUUGGACAAUGGGGGCAACCCUGAUCCAGCCAUGCCGCGAGAGUGAUGAAGGCCCUAGGGUUGUAAAGCUCUUUUGUGCGGGAAGAUAAUGACGGUACCGCAAGAAUAAGCCCCGGCUAACUUCGUG
Molecule: ribosomal RNA, 448 nt
Filed under: uncultured bacterium
Lineage: Bacteria
Description: bacterial SSU rRNA
Rfam family: Bacterial small subunit ribosomal RNA
Source: RNAcentral